This 405-nucleotide unclassified non-coding RNA is filed under the name Hevea brasiliensis (rubber tree). The record is from RNAcentral. Lineage: Eukaryota; Viridiplantae; Streptophyta; Magnoliopsida; Malpighiales; Euphorbiaceae.
CAGUGGUGGAGGAAUGAAGGGAAACAAUGAAUCAAUUCCCGUUAAACCUACAUAUCAAAAUUCAUUGUUGAAUUUGAAUAAUACAAAUGGAAGGGGUAUUUUGCCAGGUGGUAUGCCUGCUACUGCUUAUCAAGAUCCUAGAUUUGGCUUUGAUGGGAAGUACAGAAACACUGGUGUUACUUCAUUUUUGAAGGCUAAUAACAUUCCAUCUUCGAGGAACCAUAAUUUUCGGCAAAACUCCAAUUAUAUGGGCUUGCAUCAACCUGGUCCAAUGUCUGACGUGGGAUCAACUCAUGGAUACAUGAACGUUUUGUACCCAAACAAGUUUUAUGGUCAGUAUGGGAAUACUUUUAGAUCUAAUAUGAGCUUUGGAUCUACUGGUUAUGAUUCAAGGAUGAAUGCAAA